Molecule: non-coding RNA, 522 nt
Organism: Gallus gallus (chicken)
Lineage: Eukaryota; Metazoa; Chordata; Aves; Galliformes; Phasianidae
Source: the annotation of a RefSeq genome assembly
AUGGGAUACCUAUGGGGUCUCUGUGAGGUCUUUAUGGGAUGUCUAUGCAGUCUCAGUGAGGCCCGGCUCCACGAGGCCGUGUGGCGGCGGCUCCGUCAGCGCUCUCUGUCCUUCCCCACAGGGCUGAUGGCGGCCGUGACGUUGGACGAGUCCGGGGGCGGCCUCCAGACGCCCGGAGGAGCGCUCAGCCUCGUCUGCAAGGCCUCCGGGUUCACCUUCAGCAGUUUCCACAUGGCCUGGGUGCGACUGGAGACCAGCAAAGGGCUGGAAUACGUCGCAAGUAUUAGCAGUGAUGGUAGUGACACAACAUACGGGGCGGCGGUGAAGGGCCGUGCCACCAUCUCGAGGGACAACGGGCAGAGCACAGUGAGGCUGCAGCUGAACAACCUCAGGGCUGAGGACACCGCCACCUACUACUGCACGAAAUGUGCUUACAGUAGUGGUUGUGAUUAUGAAGCUGGUGGUAUCGACGCUGCUCCAGGAUUGACACACAGCUCUGCAUCCCAGGGGGAACCUUCCUGA